GCGGGAUUAGCAUAGUGGUAAUGCUCUAGCUUCCCAAGCUAGCUACGAGGGUUCGAUUCCCUCAUCCCGCU
Molecule: transfer RNA, 71 nt
Filed under: Candidatus Omnitrophota bacterium
Lineage: Bacteria; Pseudomonadati; Candidatus Omnitrophota
Description: tRNA-Gly
Rfam family: tRNA
About the family: Transfer RNA (tRNA) molecules are approximately 80 nucleotides in length. Their secondary structure includes four short double-helical elements and three loops (D, anti-codon, and T loops).
Source: RNAcentral